RNAcentral lists this ribosomal RNA (231 nucleotides) under uncultured bacterium. Its description in RNAcentral is "partial 16S ribosomal RNA". It matches the Rfam family "Bacterial small subunit ribosomal RNA", at positions 524 to 754 of the family's 1533-position model. The record is from RNAcentral.
UACGUAGGGUGCGAGCGUUAAUCGGAAUUACUGGGCGUAAAGCGUGCGCAGGCGGCGCGUUAAGACAGGUGUGAAAGCCCCGAGCUUAACUUGGGAAUUGCGCUUGUGACUGGCGUGCUGGAGUGUGGCAGAGGGAGGUGGAAUUCCACGUGUAGCAGUGAAAUGCGUAGAGAUGUGGAGGAACACCGAUGGCGAAGGCAGCCUCCUGGGCCAGCACUGACGCUCAUGCAC